UUUGCUGUAGCUUAAUUUAAAGUGCUUGAUUCUUACUCAUGUGAUGUCUUUGUUGACCGGUGAUA
RNAcentral lists this transfer RNA (65 nucleotides) under Cichlidogyrus sclerosus. RNAcentral's name for it is "tRNA-Lys". The record is from RNAcentral. Lineage: Eukaryota; Metazoa; Platyhelminthes; Monogenea; Dactylogyridea; Ancyrocephalidae.